This 614-nucleotide ribosomal RNA is filed under the name Aspergillus ochraceus. RNAcentral describes it as "eukaryotic LSU rRNA". It matches the Rfam family "Eukaryotic large subunit ribosomal RNA", at positions 21 to 649 of the family's 3401-position model. The record is from RNAcentral. Lineage: Eukaryota; Fungi; Ascomycota; Eurotiomycetes; Eurotiales; Aspergillaceae. RNAcentral also lists the same sequence under 2 other names.
GAUACCCGCUGAACUUAAGCAUAUCAAUAAGCGGAGGAAAAGAAACCAACCGGGAUUGCCUCAGUAACGGCGAGUGAAGCGGCAAGAGCUCAAAUUUGAAAUCUGGCCCCCUCGGGGUCCGAGUUGUAAUUUGCAGAGGAUGCUUCGGGUGCGGCCCCCGUCUAAGUGCCCUGGAACGGGCCGUCAUAGAGGGUGAGAAUCCCGUCUGGGACGGGGUGUCCGCGUCCGUGUGAAGCUCCUUCGACGAGUCGAGUUGUUUGGGAAUGCAGCUCUAAAUGGGUGGUAAAUUUCAUCUAAAGCUAAAUACUGGCCGGAGACCGAUAGCGCACAAGUAGAGUGAUCGAAAGAUGAAAAGCACUUUGAAAAGAGAGUUAAAAAGCACGUGAAAUUGUUGAAAGGGAAGCGCUUGCGACCAGACUCGCCCGCGGGGUUCAGCCGGCAUUCGUGCCGGUGUACUUCCCCGCGGGCGGGCCAGCGUCGGUUUGGGCGGCCGGUCAAAGGCCCCCGGAAUGUAGCACCCUUCGGGGUGCCUUAUAGCCGGGGGUGCAAUGCGGCCAGCCUGGACCGAGGAACGCGCUUCGGCACGGACGCUGGCAUAAUGGUCGUAAACGACC